RNAcentral lists this ribosomal RNA (465 nucleotides) under Vreelandella stevensii. RNAcentral's name for it is "partial 16S ribosomal RNA". It matches the Rfam family "Bacterial small subunit ribosomal RNA", at positions 338 to 795 of the family's 1533-position model. The record is from RNAcentral. Lineage: Bacteria; Pseudomonadati; Pseudomonadota; Gammaproteobacteria; Oceanospirillales; Halomonadaceae.
CCUACGGUGCGCUGCAGUGGGGAAUAUUGGACAAUGGGCGAAAGCCUGAUCCAGCCAUGCCGCGUGUGUGAAGAAGGCCUUCGGGUUGUAAAGCACUUUCAGUGGGGAAGAAAGCCUUGGGGCUAAUACCCUCGAGGAAGGACAUCACCCACAGAAGAAGCACCGGCUAACUCCGUGCCAGCAGCCGCGGUAAUACGGAGGGCGCGAGCGUUAAUCGGAAUUACUGGGCGUAAAGCGCGCGUAGGCGGUCUGAUAAGCCGGUUGUGAAAGCCCCGGGCUCAACCUGGGAACGGCAUCCGGAACUGUCAGGCUAGAGUGCAGGAGAGGAAGGUAGAAUUCCCGGUGUAGCGGUGAAAUGCGUAGAGAUCGGGAGGAAUACCAGUGGCGAAGGCGGCCUUCUGGACUGACACUGACGCUGAGGUGCGAAAGCGUGGGUAGCAAACAGGAUUAGAUACCCCUGUAGUC